RNAcentral lists this ribosomal RNA (243 nucleotides) under Hydra sp. GW1064. RNAcentral describes it as "partial small subunit ribosomal RNA". The record is from RNAcentral. Lineage: Eukaryota; Metazoa; Cnidaria; Hydrozoa; Anthoathecata; Hydridae.
UUUCUUUUGAUUAUGGAGAAAUAAAAGUAUGAGAAUCGUUUAUACAUGUUAGUGGAAGCAAAUAAAUGAGUAAAAUAGGGUAAUACCUGUUUUGUAUCAGGUUAAAAAUUUUAAUAUAUUUUUAUCCUAAGACGCAUAGCUUAAGCCAUGUUUUUACUGAAACAAAGAAAAAUUAACAGCAGUAAAGAAAUUUAUACAAUUAAAGUAAUUUAGAUAUAAAGUAAUCGUAAAUUUUGUCUAAUU